CGCUAGAGACUCUGCCUCCUAAGAGACACGUUAAGCUGACUCUGUGUCUCUGUCAUUCAUCUUCACUCCCCAGGUCAGAGAGAACAAAGCAGCAGCUCUAGGUCCCGGAAUAAGGCUGGCCGAGUGGGUCAGCUACAGGUGGUGCCCCAGCAUGGGGCUCGGGACCUGGGCUUGCCUACAUAUAGGUGUUUUCUCCCUCCCCACAGAUCCAAGGGGAAGAAUGGGGCAGGUCUGGGUCCUGUUUAGGAAGGGUGGUCUGUAGCCAGAAGAAGACAGGAGAGGUGCUGGAGAAGCAACACAUGUGGCCCCCUUGGUCCUAGAGAGAGGAGGGGGUGCUGUUUCUCCUCACAGUCACAUCUCAGGACAGUGAACCAGGUGGUGCAGUCCUUGCCCCUGCAGAGCUCACCUUCCAGAGAAGAUCCUAGACAGAUAAAUAGGCACACGCAGCAGCGUCACUUAGCAUCUGGGUGGGUAGGGGAACAGCCCACCCACCCUGGGGCUGUAAAGGCAAGGGAGGUGCUAAUUAGGUGGGGUGGCAGAGAAAGCUGCUAGGAGGGUGCAAAAUGUGCAGAAAGUACAGUGCACUCAGGGUUAACCACAGCAUUUCUGGAAGAAAAGAAUACAAGCAGAGGAAAGAGCAAGUUCAAAGGCCCUGUGGUGAGAAUGCUCAGUGUGGCCAGAGUGGAACGACACAGAGGGAGGAGAGGAGAUCUGAUAGCUAUGCAAGGCCCAGAUCCUGGGCUCAGGUUGUAUCUAGGCCUUGGCAAGGAGUCUAGAUUUGCUUUAGAGGGAGAAGAAACUGAUGGGGUUUUUCUGAACAGGAGAAUGCCAUGAUCCUAUUUGCAUUUACAAAGAACACUCCCAUGACUCCAUAGUGAUUUUUUAAAUAGAUACAUCCCAUCUGUACUCCAGCCUCAUCAGUAUGUUUCUUAAAUCAGUUAACUUUACUCAAGUAACAUUCUUAAGGAAAUUUGAUGUUCCACCUCUGCAAAUGAAAAAUCAGUAUUGUCUGCCAUAAAUAGAAGAAAACCCGUAAAAACAAAUACAACCAAAACAAAGAAGUGUUAUUACUUUUUCACCAAAGACUCCUAACGAUGAUGAACCUGAGCCUGGAGCCCCCUCUGUCUGAAGGAAAGUUAGUAAGCACUGGAGAACCUAAAGUCAACUAGCACCCACCUGAGACUCUCUCCACGGGGCGCUGGAGUAUCUGAAAGAAACUUGGUGCGGAAAUACGUCUCCCACAGUAGGAUACCCCAGUCCUUCAUGCUGGUUCCAGUAGCCACAAAUCAUCUCAUAGCCUUCAUGGGCACCCUGACUAGUCUUUGGGGAAAACAUCAUAAGGGAAUAUAUUUUCAAUUUGAUAUUUCAGGUAUACUUGAAAUCAAAUCAAAAGACUUCCAGGGGCUGGGGACUUAGCUCAGUGGUUCUGGAGCCUGCCUUGCAAGUGCAAGGUCCCUAGUUCGAUCUUCGGUACAAAAAAAGAAAAAGGCUUCCAUCCUUCCCCUCUGAGACCAGGUGAUAAAUGUUUCAGAAGUGUCUGCUGUUACUCAUUAGCUCCAGAAGCUACAAAGACAGCGUGUGUAGGGUGGUGUUGUGCUUUGGUUUGGGCUGGCUUUGGGUUUUCCUUUUUGCAUACUUAUUCUCCAUGCACUGACUUCAGCUCAGCUGGCUAGGUGACCAGGUGCCAUUGCACUGCACCUGCCCCACCUGUUAUUGACAGCAGGGCCAACGUAAGGGCAUGAGGCCAAUCACACUGGCCCUGUACCCAAAGUAAAGUAGGAAACAGGCAGCGUGGGACUGAAGGACAAAUUUCCACUCAGGGGCUGCCACCUCACCUGGUAACAGAAUGUUACCCGCUUCCCUUUAGGAAUUUGCACGAUGUACAUCAUAGAGUCACAGGCAUUUGACUCCCAAAGAGUCCUUUGGACACAAGUUUCAUUUCAACAGUGGGGAAACUGAGCCCCAGAGAGAAAGCAACCUGCCUGUGUGCUCAGGACAAGGAAGUUUUCCUUGAAUAUUCCCUUUGAUCAGUGUGACUACAAUUUGCUUUUUAUGUCUGUUGAGAUUCAGAAGGGUUUUCACUCACAUGCACAUCUAUUUAUCAAUUGUUUAUCAAUUGCUUUCUAAGAAGCCACAUAUUCACAUGAGCAUCCAUAUAUAGGGGUAGGGAAAAGUUCUUCAUAACCCCCUCUCCCAGGAUCAGCCUGGACAAAGCAAAGGCAGCCGCACCAGGGUGAAGCUUCCAGUUUCCAAAGCACAAGGCCUUCUCGGCUUAUUGGCAGUCGGAUCAGGUGCCUGCAGAGAGGCCUGACUCUGUAUUUUCACUUAAUUGAAAAACCCACAUCAUCCAAGAGAGCAUCCAUGUUCGGUGACCCUUCCCUCCCUCGACGGUGACCAUUAACCUUUAAAAAGAUGCUUCGUGAGCCAGUUAGGGAGCCGCCGCCUCCAUGCCAAGGUGCAGUGAGGCUCAGAGAAGGGACCCCAUUAGGAGGGCCGGACAUGAGAAAUGCCGCAAAUGAAGGCUGGGCAGAGCAGGUACCUGGGCCACCAGAGGUCCCAGCAUGGCUGUGUCCGUGGCCUCUCAGGGCACCCAAGCCUCAGCCACAGACCUCUGGGGUGACCCAGUCUUGUUAAAGAAGUGAGUUCAACAGAGCCAACUGUGAAUGAAAUGGGUAAAUCAGAUCCUGUUGAUCCUCUGGCCAGAACCCUGUGCUGCUCUUACAGACUCAGAGUAGAAGCCAUGGCCUCUGCUUGAUCCAGCCCUUCCUCACUGGCCUGCUUCCUCUAUCUCUGUACCCCUUCUCUCCCCUCUCCAGCCACACUGACAUCCUCACUAUGCUUCAUACACCCCAGGGCCUUUGCACAGCCAUUCGUCUGCUGGGAAAGCUUCGUCUCAAGAUAGUGUCAAGGCUGCUGCCUCUCACUGUGGCUGCCUCCGGGAGGUCUUCCUUACCUUUAAAAAUCACCUCUGCACCCCCACACUCACUGUCCCCCUUCCCCCAACCAGGACCUGACAUGUGCAGGCACCUUUCACUGCUUGACCUGUCAGCAUUUGCGGAUCUAGAGAAGGGGGUGCCCUGUCCAAGGGCAAGCGUCCCUCUUUUCAGUCUGUUUGGCUCACAGCUGUGUCCCUAGUGCAGGGCACGGUGCCAGACACUCAGCAGGGCCUCCAUAAAUAUUUGUAGCCUGAGCAAGUGAACAAAUGGAUGGAAUCACAUUUGAAAGACAAAGCUCUGGGACUUCAAAGAACUUGUUGAUUAAAGGGGUGGAGUUCAGGUAUCUGCAUCCUUACUUUGGCUGAAGGGAAAGAGUAAGAAUACCAAUUGUCACCCAGGAUGGCUGGGUGCCCAGUACUGAAGAGGGCGGCAGACUGGCUGCCGUAGCAACUCUCCCUCCCACGGUGGAAGGGGCGGUGAGGAGUGGAAAGGAGGAACAUCAGGACGUUGUCAUUUGCCCUCAAGGGCCGCACUAGGACUUUAGGGUCCUGGGAGCCUCUUGCUGGUCCUUUGGCUCUGCUGGAAUCCUCUUCCCAGGGCCAGCUCCUUCCAUGACCAGUCUCAGCUCGCAUGCCACCUGCUCGGGUAGGGCUCUCCUGAUCUCAGGCACUUCCCCCACCUAUCUCCUUGAUCAUGCCACCGCGGUUCAUUUGUAUCAGUGCCUUUGCCCCUUUCUGAAAUGCUCGGGGUCACCCACAUCUUUACUGGGCUAUUUAUUAUCUAUAAAUCUCCAACCAGGAUGUCAGCCUUAUGACAAGGGGACCGUGCUUGUCUGUGCCUAGCUCAAGGCCUGCCACACAGUACCCAAUAAAUGUUUGUGAAAUCAGUGGUUUUGCAAUGUUAUGUAUCCUGGGGAUUUCUUACAAAGUAGUAUUUAAAUUUUCCAGUUUUUAGAGGCCUGCAAAUAGCAUUUCCCAUUACCCCAGAGGGAUUAGAUAGUCCUUGACCUGAAUCAGGAGUGUGGCUUGUUUCAUUUCCCAAAAUCCCAUAUGUCAACAAGAAUGUUCCGUUGCUAUUUAAUGUGUUCACUGAUGCACUCUGUUAAAUUGAGUGUAAUGAUCUUUUCCCCCUACUAUACAUCUUCCAAAUCCCUCCCAUUUCUUCAAGAAUGUGUGCACAAUUUCCCAGGAAGCAGCUGCCUGCCCACUCAGCCUAGGAAAUUUGGGUGGGUGGAUCCUACACUCAGCCCCAGCAUGUGACUCAGCCUGAGCCAAUCAGCACCCUGGCCCACAGUGAGUGGUCCAGGCAGGAUAGUCAUGUGACCUCUGAGAUAGCCCACUGCUGCUCAGCCCAGGAUCAGGGACCUCAUUAAGAACUUUUGGGCUCUUGCUGCUCUUCAAACCUGCCUAGAAGGCAUCUGUGACUUCUCUUUGCUUCGCUGGGCAAUCUCAAUUAAGAACCAAGAAAACAGUGGGUGUAGGAAACUCACCUAGAUGCAGAGUUUUAUACAAUGAUGGACCCACUUCCGACUUUGGAGACUGUGGGUCACUCUUGGAGGGAAGCAGCUCCCCUUGGCUUCCUACUCCGUCCUUUCCACUAAUGGUUGACAGGUGACAGGAAAACAGGGCAUGUGGAGUAGGACUGACCUGUGUGAGUAUCUUGUGUGUGCUGCUCAUGCGCCACCUAACCCUUGACAGAUGACACAGCCCUUGCAUGCUGCCGCCAGCUCCUCCCCAUGAGGGAGACAUGAUGUGGUUUGAAAGGCCCCAGCCUGGGAGCUGGAAAGACCUGGCCCCUGAUGUCACCUCUGCCACUGACUUGACAUUUAAGCUGGGCAGGCUGGGUACCCUCUGCUUCUCUGGGCCUAGCUAUGAAAGGAAGGUGAAAGUACCUACAGCAAUGGGGUUUCCUAAGGAUUGAAUGGGGCCACAUAUGUAGAGCACCCAGCACAGGUCCAGGCUCAGAGAGAAAGCAGAGAAUACUCAUCCUUCCCCGUCCCCAAGUCCACACCCUGGCUGCCUAGACAGCUCUGUCCAGGUUCUUUCCUUCCAAGAAGGUUUCGGGAUCCUUAGUGUGAUCUUGUGUGUGUUAGAACCAGUAUUUGCCAUGAGAGUACUCACCGUAUUUUCUUCUCUCCCUCCUUGUCCCCCUUUGCAGCUGUGCUGUCCUCUACAUGGGAUUUCUUCUCAGGGAGGCUCAUCCCCUGAGCUGGACAGCUCCCAGCUGACUGCCUCCCUGCUCAGUGGCAGCAGCAGAAAGACAGGUGCCCACAACACCAGCCCCAAAGUCCGAGGUUGCUCACCAUUGACUGCCUUGAGUCACGUGCCCUUUGCUGGACCAAUCACAGUGGCCAGAAAUGGAAUAUGGGGUCAUCAAGGCCCAGACACAGAGGUGUGGGGGCUCCCAAUAUGCCACUCUCAGGAGACAUAGGCUGCUAGAAACAACAGAUGACCCCUGUACUAGGGAACAGUUAAAAGAAAAUACUGGGCUGGGGAUUUAGCUCAGUGGUUUUGCCACCUGCUGCUGCAUAAGCACAAGGACCCGAGUUCAAUCCCUGGUAUCAAAAAAAAAAAAAAUACUAAUGCUCUUUGACAUUCUGAAAUCAAAGAUUUGAAAUCCAAACUCAUAAGUGACAGUUCAUUUUAAGUCAACUUGGCAAGGCCGUGGUGCCCAGAGAUGAGGUCAAAUAUUAUUUAGAAGUUUCUAUAAGGGUGUUUGGGGAUGAGAUUAACAUUUAAAUCAGUGGACUUUAAGGAAAGCAGAUUGCCCUCCAUAAUGUGGGGGGCCACAUCCAAUCAGGUGAAGGCCUGCAUAGAAGAAAACACUGACCUCCUGCAAGCAAAAAGAAUUCUUCAGCAGAUGUCUCAGACUUAAACAGCAGCACCAGCUCCUUCCAGGGUCUCCAGCCUGCUGCUCUACCCUGCGGGUGCUGGACUUGCCAGCCCCCAUAGCCACAGGAGCCAAUUGCUGAAGAUAAACUUCUUUCCGUAUAUGAACCAUAGGUGUUGAAAAACUUUACCCUCUGAAGGUUUGAUAAUUGGGUCUAUGAAGUAUACUGACAAUGGACAGACUAAUGGGAGAAAAGUUAUACAAAUUCCUUACCCACACAGGGGCAUCACAGGAAAGAGAAGUGACCAGUCCCAGCCCAGGGUGAUCCGGAAUCAUAUAUACCUGCUUCAGUGGGGAGGGGGAAGGGGAAGGCUAACUGGCCAUUGGGUGCCAGCCGGGGGUAAAGUAUCUGGGCACAGAGUGACCUUGGGUACACCUGCUGUGAUGGAAGUCCACCUUUCUCUGGCUGACCAGGGCCCUGGCAGGGGAUUCUUGAUUAUUGGUUGGUUCCCUUUGUAGGAUCCAACUUUAGGCAGAUAAGGGAAGCUUGGCCGAGCCCUCUCUGUGCUUGCUGUCCCCAGGUGUCCUCUCUCUGAAAUACUCCACACACUCAAGGGCAUGUUUUUGGUGGCAUCUUUUGAACUCCUCAGCACAUGUUCUGUUGAGUGUGUCUUCUGGGAGCCCUGACUCACACCACACACUGUACUUGAAUAAAGGUUACUUCCAAAGCCCCUCACCUCUGGACUGUAACCAACUUGGUGACAAACUUAGUCCAUCUCCAUAUGCUGGCAUUUGCCACGUGGAAAAGGCCAUUUGACAGAUGGAAGCUGCGGUCCCACCCCAACUCCCAUUUCCUCUCUCUCUUUAAUGUUGAUUUUAUGCUCAUUUUAGAGACCCAGUCAAAAAGAUGGAUACAAGGCCAAAUCAGUGACAAAUGAAAAAGGGAUUUAGACACCUUGAGCUUUUGUGUUGUGUGGUGUGUGUGUGUGUGUGAGAGAGAGAGAGAUUAGUACUAUCCUUCGAAGGAAGGAAGGAGGAAGCUGAAUUCCUGACAGGGCUGGGAGGAGAUGGUGCCUGAACAGACUCUUGCAGUGGACCUCCACCUAGCCCUGUCUCCUAGGAUGAGGGUCCUCCAGUUUUCCUCCAGGGAUUGAAUUCACCUGACCCCACUGAUGGCCCAGUAUGAGCUCUUCCUGCUGCCAUCUGCUGCCCAGGGCCCAGGAUACCCUGUUCCUGCCCCUCCAAUGCCUCCUGCUCCCCAGACCUUCUGGUCGUUCUGCAUUUCUGUGCUCCAGGGUCUAACGUGGAUUCUGUGCCCUGUGACCUCAAAACCCAACAUAACUGAAGAAUGAAAAAAUCUUUAAAAUCACAAGGAAGGCGGCGGCAGAGGUGAUGGCGGCGGCAGAGGUGAUGGCGGCAGCAGCACCACCUGAGAACAGAGCUGGGCCCGGGCAUGGUGGCGCGUUCUGCACUGUGAGAGCGCAGCGGCCGCUGGAUCGCCAUGCGCCAGCGGCUCCAAAGCUCGGGCCUUUGGCCCUUCGCCUCGGCGACGGGAGGCAGCGUCCCGGAGACGAGACUGCGGGCGCUGAGCAAGCCUUGGGCAUCGUGAGGCUGGAUCUCCCCCGCAGCCACGUGGAUUUCCCUGUGAUCCUCUAUGAGCUGUGAGCCUGGUGGGUGAAGACACAAGCACCCCCUCUGACCCAGCAAGAAACUUCCUGUCACAAGGUGUAGCUUCCAUUGAGCACCCCAGGCUGGGGCCACAGCCCUUCGUGAACUCUGUUGGCCCAGAACCUUCAGCUGUAAGCAGGGCAGCCCUCGGUAUAAAUCGGGUAUUGGUUUGUGUGUGGACAAGAGAGGUUUGGUGUCUGGCAAAGGCUAACGGGAGAGUUACCAGCAGAGCUUUCCCAGCCACAGGGCAUCUGCCAGUCAGGAAUGUGUGGUUCCUGGUUCCUUGCCUGGCUGGUCUGCUUUCUUCCAAGCUUGCCUAGGGCCCAGCCUCACUAAAAGCUACAGCACUUUCCAUGCAAAAUCUGCCUUCUUCCAGCCCCUGGACUUUGGGAGCUCUACACAAGUGGGAACUUCCUUUCCCUCACUUCCUUUACCCCCUAGUCAGAGCAUUUCAGCCAUUUCUACCUCUAUACUUCCUGAUUGGACAGAGGCUGAGGACAGCACCCACCUGAUGCUUCCCACCUACCUGCCAUUUGUUCCCACUUUCACAUGGACAGUUUGCUGGCUGUUAACUGGAAUGAGGACUGGUAUGGGUAGCUUCUCCUUUUCCCAGGGCUUGGCUAAUUGCUCCCCAGUGCAACUAGUUAUUGCCCUCUCCUCAGUUAAGAGGUACAGGCCAGAGUCAGAACAGGCUAUGGGCGUCUGUGCCUAUGGGAAGUUGCCCCAAGCCUAUUCUAACCGCCUCCCCCCUUGCCUUUGCACCAGCCAUUCCCCCUACUAUCCAGUUGGGAGGGUCCACUACCCUGUGAUGAAGACCAACAUACUAGGGCUGGUGCCUGUAGCGCUAUGAGGAGACCACCACUCUUCUGCCACAAUAUCUUCACCCCUUCUGGAUCAGUCAAGGGAAAGUACUAGGGCCCCUUGAAAAGCACAGAAAGGAGGGCAAAAACAUAAAAGGGAAUACUGUACUUAAAGUGUGAAGAUUUGUAAAUAGUCUAGUCCAUGCUGAUGUUAGGGCAGAGUCUGAUUUCUACACAGAAAUGACUUUCUUUUUCUUUUAAUUUCUUAUUGUGCAAGUUCUAUGCUUCUAGCAUGGGACAUGGCUUGGGGAUGAUGCUCCCCAGUAUAGGAAGAUUGUUGUGCUAUUUGUUCGAUUUCAAUAAAAUUAUUUGUAGAUCCUGUAAAAAAAUAAAAUCAGAAGGAAAAAAAUUGUUUAAAGUUGCCAUGGCUACCAAGUGAAAAGUGCAACAUUCUGUAGCAAAUUCUGCAAACUGUAAGAUUUCAUUAUUAAAUACUUUGUUUUCAAUAAAAAACUGAUGUUAAUGUUUAUAAAAUAAUUGAAGAAAUGUUCAAAGUGCUCAUUGUCACUCCUUGUGUUUGAGAAAGAAGUACAGCAGUGAAAUUGUUUUGGAAAAUAUAAAAGUUGUUGGUGAUUUGGUUUUAAGUUGUUAUCUCUUACAUCUUCACGUCACUCAGUAAGCUUUUCUGCUCUCUGUCAACCUUAAAAUGCAUAAACAUCACAAAUAUGAGAAAUAUAUAUCUUAUUUUGAAUAAAAAUUAGUAUUGCAAAAAUUAGUGUUGGGCAUUUUUUUAUAUUAU
This 9032-nucleotide long non-coding RNA is filed under the name Heterocephalus glaber (naked mole-rat). RNAcentral's name for it is "lncRNA (ENSHGLG00100050135.1)". The record is from RNAcentral. Lineage: Eukaryota; Metazoa; Chordata; Mammalia; Rodentia; Bathyergidae.